UGAUGAUGUUAUAUUUUCUAAGAUGGAGGAAAAGCAACAGUUCCCAGAUAAUCUAAGGAUGUCGUGAAAUUAAAACCCAAAGAAUGGUCGACUGACUGGAUGUUCUGGAAUAAAAUUGGGACAGAGAAGUCACUCAUUUCUAGUGUGGUCGAAAAUAUGUAGCAGUGACAUACGAUGUAUGUUGUAGGUGCUUUGUGUUUCUUUUGGAGUGUCCAGAUCGUAUACGGACAACUUCACGUACUAUUGGGUUUCCCCCAGUGUAAAUGGGCGAAUGAGGAGUGUUCGAAUGACGCAGGGUGCUGCAGUAAAAAAUGUAUUCAGAAGAAUCCUGGGACAACUAAGCGUUGCAGCCAGAGCAGCCUUGGGGGACACUGUCUGUAUCAAUACCACUGUGAGAACUAUCUUGAGUGUGGGGACAAGAAGAAGAAAUGUUGUGCUAGGUACUGGGAGACAUGUUCCAAGUCCGAACACUGCUGUGACCCUGAACAUAGGUGUGUGCGCGCGGAGGGCUUUGUCUACAAAACAUGUCUGUAUCGAUCUCCCAGUGGUGCAGAGGCUUUGAAUUUGUCUCCUUUCUUGAGUAUUCUAAUUUUGCACUGUAUCCUGGAACAUUUGCAUGUACAGUAAUUCUAGUUCUUUCUGUGCAAGAUUGUGACUAAUUAUACUUCAAACUGAGAGGAUGAUUUGAAUUCCUCAGUUCCUGCUAAAUCUUCUCCGGAUCAAUAAAUUAUUAUACCCGAGCUAA
Molecule: long non-coding RNA, 745 nt
Organism: Saccostrea echinata
Lineage: Eukaryota; Metazoa; Mollusca; Bivalvia; Ostreida; Ostreidae
Exons: 3
Source: RefSeq, a predicted model, not a curated record